Myotis davidii is the source of this 75-nucleotide non-coding RNA. Lineage: Eukaryota; Metazoa; Chordata; Mammalia; Chiroptera; Vespertilionidae. The record is from Rfam.
GGUGUUUCUCAUAUGAGGCACCCCAGAAUCGGGUCCCCUCCUCUCUGGUUCUGGGUGUGUCACCUGAAAACCACA